UGCCUUUAUGUGUUGCCCGUUCAUUUUUCUCCAGAAAUGAACGUGGUGUCAGCAAAGGCAUACAUCAGCGUUUGUGUGGGCCUGUGCCUGGUGUCUCAUGGUGUCACCCUGUAUUAAGUUCUACACAAGUACACGU
This is a small nucleolar RNA of Conger conger (European conger), 136 nucleotides long. RefSeq annotates it as small nucleolar RNA SNORA13. NCBI's taxonomy places the organism in Eukaryota, Metazoa, Chordata, Actinopteri, Anguilliformes, Congridae. The record is from RefSeq and is a predicted model, not a curated record. The transcript has a single exon.